CUUAUUCCUCUCACUUCUUCCUUUCCUCUCCUUUUCCCUUUUUUUUUCUUUCUCCCAUAAUCUUUUUUUCUUUUUUCUUAACGUACCUGCCCGAUUCACUGCACCUUCCAAAAAGCGUUGCCGGUAUCGCUGCUUACUGUUAGUAACCCUCGCGUUCGUUGACGAACAAAAUACCCCUCUAGUUUCAUCUGCCAUGGUCGCUGGUCGAUUUCUCCCUGCCGCAGCGUCCCGUUGAAGCAAGGGCUUUUGGAACACGUCUCCGGCGUCAACCCAUGAGGAUACUAAAUUGUGGAGACAAAGGCGUGCAGUGUGAAUUCAGGAUAAGCAGACUUGAGUUUAACGGAAGGUCGGAUUUCUUUUUAAUUCUAUGUUUUCUCGAGUGGUGGUGUAGUUAAGUGUUGUGUGCAUUCCCAUAUACCUGAAAUAUUCUUUGGACAUCAGAUUUGAGGAUUUUUUUCAUAUUCGUACAAAAGGGCAAGGAAAAAUUUAGAAUAGUUAGAAAUUUUUCUUGACACAAGUAGGGUAUGGAUAAUGCUUGCUGCUCUAGUAUCUAGAGAUGACGCGCAGAAUUUUUGGCGGAGCUUAGAAAUCAUUCAAUUCUCAUUAAAUGGCAUCCCUAAAAGGUUCUAAAGUGGAGAUAAUGGGUGAUUUUAAACCAUGGGCCUUAAUGUUGUGAUGAAUGUUAUGUUUUAGUUAUAAGUGCAAUACAUGGACUUAUUGGUACAAAAAUGCGGUUUAUUAAAGCUGAAGCUAUAACUUUGUUCUUUUAAAUUGAGGGUGCACGCCCGUAUCAAGAAUUAAACAGUACAAGUUUGAAUGCAUGUUUUGUUGAUGGAAUCACAUGUACAUUGCCUUUUUAGAUGGAUAGGAGUUGGAUAGACGAUACCAACCAUAACUCGGCUCAAUAUUUGGAUGGGGUCAGGGCUUUCUUAGAUUUUGCGUUUAAAGAUAGGAACUCUGAUGCUUCCAUCUAUUGUCCCUGUACGUCCUGUGGCAAUCGCAUAACAAAAUCUCGUAGUGAUAUCUUGCUUCAUUGUAUUCGCUAUGGAUUCGACCAAUGCUACAAGGUCUGGACUUGUCAUGGGCAAGGAGAGGUGAACUAUGCGCUGCAGAAGACAAUGUUCCAAUGCGUUGGGAGGAUUAACUAGAUCUUCUGUUGCAAGAGUGCGUAACCGCUGAGGACACCGGGCCGGGGCCCAGUAACACCGAACCUCUUAAUGAUAAGGAGGAUGACCAUAUACAUCGUGACAUAAGGGGUACAGAAAAAUGUUAGAAGAUGUAGAGAAGAAGCUUAUACCAGGGUGCAAAAAAAUGAGUAGACUCUCGUUUAUCGCUCGCUUUUUGCACUUGAAGGUUUUGUGCCACUGGUUUAAUAAAUCUAUUGACUUGUUGUUAGAGUUGUUAAGGGAUGCAGACAAUGUUGUCCUCCCGAAGAACUUCUAUGAGGCUAACAUGAUCACGAAGGACUUGGGGUUCACAUGUAAGACUAUCCAUGGAUGCAUCAACAAUUGCAUGUUGUUUAUUGGGGAAGAUGUUCACCGUGAUGUUUGUAUUGUGUGUGGGGAAAAAAGAUUGGGUAAAGAUAGAUCUCCUUUGAAGAAGUUGGGGUACUUUCCAUUGAUUCCCCAUUGAUUCCAAAAUUGCAUCAUCUAUGCGAUGGCAUGCCGAAGGGCAUGUCGAUGAUGACAAGAUGCGUCACCCAGCAGAUACUCCUGCGUGGAAGGGGUUUGAUCAUCGGUACCCCACGUUUGCUGAGGAUAUUCGCAACGUAUGCCUUAGGCUGGCCACCAACGGUUUCAACCCCUUUGGAAAUAUGAGCGUUAGGUACAGCAUUUGGCCCGUAGUACUUGUGAUAUAUAAUCUACCACCAUGGCUAUGCAUGAAGCAACCACCGUUCAUCCUUUCUACAAUUAUAGAUGCUCCGCAAGGCCCGGGGGAUCGCAUCGACGUCUUCCUUCAACCUUUGAUGGAUGAGUUGAAGGAGCUUUGGUAUGACGGUGUUUGGAUAUACGAUGCAAGAAGCAAGGAGGACUUCCAAAUGCGAGCUGCGUUGCUGUGGACCAUCAGUAAUUUUCCAGGUUAUGGUAUGUUAUCAGGGUGGCCAACUCGUGGGGCGAAUGCAUGUCCUGUUUGUGGUAUGAAAACUUAUUCCAGGUAUCUAAAAAAUGCCCACAAAUAUAGCUACUGUGGGCAUCGAAGGUUCCUACCGAGUGGGCAUAGAAUGCACUAUGAUAAGCAUGCAUUUGACGGUAUGAUGGACUUUGAGACAAAGCCGUCUCGCUUGACUUCCAAUGAACUGCUCCAGCAUCUUCAGGAUGUGCGAACUGAGUACCGUAAGGUUGAUCUUAUUCAGAAGCUUGUUGCAUAGAGAUCCCGAAAGCGUAUCCGGGAGGUUGUGAACCAACGUACAUGGAAAAAAAAGAGCAUUCUGUUCGAGCUCUCUUAUUGGGCCGAGAACGAAAUACGUCACAACCUCGAUUUGUUGCACAUUGAAAAGAAUGUGUGUGAAAAUGUAUUGUAUACAUUGUUGGGGAGUAAAGGAAAAACAAACGAUAAUCUCAACACAAGGAAAGACUUGCAGUUACUGCAAAUACGCACUGCUUUGCACCCGGUCUCUGGCCUGAAGGGUUCUAUAUACUUGUCUGCUGCUAUGUACACUAUAAGUAACCCUGAAAAACGAAACUUCCUAUCUGUGUUGAAGGAUCUACAACCACCUUAUGGAUUCAGUUCGAACUUAUCGCGUCGUGUUAGGGUACAACAACAACUAUGGGGUCUUAAGAGCCACGACUGCCACAUUCUUAUGCAAUGACUUCUUCCAUUGCAGCCCGACGGUAUACCCUUGUAAAAAAAUUAUAUUUGAUAACCCAAGUCACGCUUCGUCUUAACAUAAUUAAAGGUGCCACUUCAUCACUUCUUAUAGGUGUCUUCCCAAGAAUGUUGUGCUCGUGUUGAUUGAACCUUGUAACUUCUUCAAUUCUGUGUGCUCAACUAGCAACACAGUUCGUGAGCUGGAGCGAAUACAAAAAAGAGUUUCAUUGACAUUAUGUCACCUUGAAAAGCUAUUCCCACCUUCAUUCUUCGAUGUGAUGGAGCAUCUGCCAAUCCACUUGGCUGAGGAGGCAAUGGUCAACGGUCCAGUGCAGUACCGGUGGAUGUAUCCGAUUGAGAGGUACCUUAGUACUCUGAAGAGGUACGUACAGAAUCGGGCCCAACUUGAGGGUUCUAUUGCACGUGGAUACCUUAUGGAAGAGUGCGUGACCUUCUGCUCAAGAUAUCUUGGGGACAUAGAGACCAAAGAGAACAGGGGUGUUCAAGGUGAUGAAGAAGGCACACAACACAAGAAAGGAUUAUUUGGUUCUAGGUUUAACCUUGAUUACAAUACGAUGCGUCAGAUUCAUGGUUACAUCCUAGGAAAUUUAGAUGCAAUAAGUCCGAUACGAAGGUUACUUCACCUCAACUUCACAAUACUUGUAUGCAUUCUUUAUUGAUGUUCAAUAUAUUCCAAUUCCCUUUUUGCAUUGUAGGAUUCACGUUGAUAGUAUUAGGUCCUGUCGAGGUCGCGCACCUCCACGUGAGGUGCAACGCCAACACAACGAACAAUUUGCGUCAUGGUUUCAUCAUACGUGAGUAUCCUUUACCAGUAACCCUACACGGGAACGCCCCAAAAACAAUAUUGAAACCAUGAAUCUGAACAUCAACUACUUUACAUCAAAUGUAGGUAGAUGAUCCAACGCAUAACGAUGUUUGCCCAAUCUCGGAUUGGAUUACGUGCAUUGGCCCGUGGACCAUCGAGUAGUGCAACACGGUACUCUUCGUGCAUUGUUUCUGGAGUACGUUAUCGGGUUAAAUAUCGGGAUGCGGGAAAGAGGACACAAUGUGCAGGUGUUAUGGUUAUAGCAGAUACAGUAAGUUACGCCUCUGCUAGGGACCAUAACCCACGAGAAGGUUCCGUGGCAUAUUACGGGAUUGUUAUAGACAUUGUAGAGGUGUAUUAUGACAAUCUACAGAAGUACCUUCUUUUAAAAUGUGAUUGGGUGGAUCCGGAGAGAGGUGUUAAAGUAGAUGAGUUCAAGUACAAGCUUGUGAACUUCAAUCAUCUGAUGUACCCGAAGAACUUGCCCACUGAUGAGCCAUUUGUCCUGGCAACCCAAGCCAAUCAAGUUUGGUACAUUGCAAAGCCGGUUCAGGAGGACUGGAGUGUUGUUGUUCCGGUGACUCGUCGGGACACAUAUGAUGUGUAUAGUACAAUCGAUCAUAGAUUCAGUAAUAGGUUCGCUUUAAAUGACGGAGGCAACGCCAGAGAAGCUGCCGACUAUUGGCUAAGGGAAGACGUUGAGGGCCAGCUUCUUGAUGGAACAACCCAGAUUGACAAUGUAGAGAUUUCAGCUCGGCGUUCGGAGGAAACCUCCGAAGAUGAAUAUGCUUAGUGGUGAAGGAAGAUAGCGGGCAUUUUUGACUGUUUGUAAAUAUUGCUUAGUGAACGCCCCCAUUUUGACAGUAGGACAAAAACACUUCCUUUUUGAGCUCCAGGGUCAGAAUAAAUUUCACAUCUCAACAUAUGGUACUUUUUUCGUAAGGGUGUAUUAGUUCAAGUACGCCUAAGGUAACAACUUUGCGUGAAUCGUCUCGUUUUAUCAACGCUGUUUUCUAUCGUUGUAUGUUCUUCGUCAGCUACAUGCAUUGUUUGUUUUAUUAUGUUGUGACUUUUUUGUUGUUUCGGACAACUCCCUAAUGCUUAUAUGUUGCAAGUUAUGGCAAAAACUCAACGAGUUGCCGUGGAGGGUCCCAAGAUCCGACUGGCUCGCCUGUAGGACGUGUUACCUAGGCAUCCGCACGCAAUAGCCCAGUAGAUGGAACUAAUGUAGCUAGCAGGAACCCAUCACCUGUGCGGAAAACUGCAAAAAAAAUGACAAAACGAAAGGGAACGCGGGUCUCACCAUUGUUCCAGCAAGUUCGCUCCAUCACAUCAGAGUGGGAGAAAGAGGGCAAUAUUCAUGCUUCCACCAAAUCAACGACAUCAUCCGCUCGGCGGGCAGUGCUUCAGGAUUCGUAGGGGCCUGCAGAGGAACAUAAUGGUAGGGAUAUCCCAGCUUCCCUUGAGCCAAAUGCAGCCAUGCAGGAUGAGAAUGAGACAAUACCCCCCACAUAAGUAGAUGACGAAACAAUCCCACCGACGCAAGACAUGGAGACUGUGGAGAGUGAUAUGCCGUUCCUGGGUGGGGAAUUGGGGCCCGGCCUUAUGGCCAUGGAAGACACAGAGGCGGGCGAUAUGGAACACUUGGAUGGGAUAACAUCAUAUGGCGUUGGUCCCUCAAAGAAGAAACAGGGAAGGGGGCAGCGAGAAUGCCACAUGGAUGGGGAAAUGAUCACAAGAUGCUUGUAUUUACAUCGCCGGAUGGCAAAAGCAUUGUUGGACCUGAUGUAAAUGAGUACAAGACCGCUUUUAGGAUGAUUGCGCGCAAUGGAGCUCGACUUCCUCUGCAUUACCCGAUGUUGCCGAAAUACCGGAGACAAAGAGACUGGGUGCAUGGAUGGAGGUUCAGGGCGAUAACCACGCCACAUGUCCUACCAGAGCAACAGCGGAUUACCAAACUCAGCAGAGAAAGUGGUCUUGGCUGAGUUACGGGAGGUUUGGAGGCAUUGGAAAUAGAGCAUCAAAUCAACUUACUUCAACCCAAUCCAGGAUGACAAUGAAGCACUGAAGAAGGUUCCUUCAAGCCGGAUUGUGGCCGAUCAAUGACCGAAGUUGGUCGGGUAUUGGCAGGACGAAAAAGUUAAGCUUCAAUCCAAGAAAAAUGCAUCUAACGUAUAGAAAAGAAGUUUCCCACAUCGUACUGGGCGGAAGUCCUUCACGACUCUCGCUGAGGAGAUCAAGGCGAAGGGGAAGGACCCCGACAGCUUAGAGAUAUGGAUAUACAGUCGGACACAAGGCAAGGGAACAAACAAUCAACAAACCGAAGAGAUAUUGUUGAUUCUUUUGUUGUAAACAUAUUUGCAGAAUGAGCUAAACAAGAUUCCGCCGGAAGGGCAGACUCCGGCUGUUCGGGAGACUCUUUACCAACAGGCUCUUGGGGGAAAGACCAAAAAAUGCUCAAAGGUUGACAGUGCCGCCAGUUCAGCUCAUCCCCGCAGUGAGGCAACUGGUUUAACAGAUACUGUAGCAUUCCAGCAAGGGUGGGAAGAAAUGCAGAGCGGACUUGCAGAGUUCAAGAAAAUGAUGGCUGAGUUCAAAACCAUCAAGGCUGAUGUGUAUGCAUUCAUGCACAGAAACUCCGAAGUAGUUACCCAUCUGCCACAGCUCGUAUUGAUACGGUCUCUGAGCUUCUUAGGCCCAUCUCUGAAUCACCUAUGACGGUUGGCACCCGUGUGCUUAUAUUAUCUCGCACCGGAGAGAAGAAAGUUGUUGCUGAGGGACUUCUGCUCAGCCCCCCUGCACCAGGUGACACACUUUCCCUGGUCAAGGUUUUCGUUACAUCCGCCGCAGUCCCGGACACACCCCUUAUUUUGCCGACAAUUGCUGGCGCGACUACCUUUCGCGAGGUGGUCGGUGAAGAUCCUAUUGAGUGGAACUAUAAGGAUCUCAUGCGCCACCCCUGAAGCAUAUCGACCGGUUCCUUUAUGUUUUAUCUCUAUUUGCAUUAUCAAUUGCAUGUCGUGGAUGUGCUUGGAUGGUAGGUUCUUAUGGCUAUGUGAAAUACCUAUGGAAUAGAUGCAUAGACAUUUGGAUGUAUAUUUUGUGUGGUAAGAAUUGUUGCUAUGGAUUGAUCGAUCUCCCCGCUUGCUUAUUACUAGGUUGGAUGUUUGAAAUGCUUGUGUUUGAUGGAACAUAAUGUCGAAGUGGAGAUGUUGCUAGCCUUGUUCAAUUGGUUAAUUUACUUUGUUGU
Long non-coding RNA from Andrographis paniculata, 6884 nucleotides. RefSeq lists it as uncharacterized. Lineage: Eukaryota; Viridiplantae; Streptophyta; Magnoliopsida; Lamiales; Acanthaceae. The record is from RefSeq and is a predicted model, not a curated record. The transcript has 13 exons.